RNAcentral lists this ribosomal RNA (89 nucleotides) under Ochotona princeps (American pika). Lineage: Eukaryota; Metazoa; Chordata; Mammalia; Lagomorpha; Ochotonidae. The record is from RNAcentral.
GUCUACGGCCAUACCACCCUGAACGCACCCGAUCUCGUCUGAUCUUGGAAACCAAAUGGAUGAGUGAAGGGUGAAUAAUAGCCAAGACA